GUGCCAGCAGCCGCGGUAAUACGAGGGGGGCAAGCGUUAUUCGAAAUGAUUGGGCGUAAAGGGCAUCUAGGCGGUCUAUUAGUUUUAAAUAGUUAAUAAAUACCAGAGCUUAACUGUGGUAAUUAGUUUAAAAUUAGUAAACUAGAGUAAGUAAAAGGAAAAUGGAAUUUCUGGAGGAGAGGUAAAAUUUGUAGAUCUCAGAAGGAACACCAAAAGCGAAGGCAAUUUUCUAGUACUUAACUGACGCUGACGUGCGAAAGCGUGGGGAGCAAGCAGGAUUAGAUACCCUGUUAGUCCACGCCGUCAACGAUGAUAAUUCAUUAUUAGUAAUUUUAUUUAGUAAAAUUAGUAGUGGUCUAGCUAACGCGUUAAAUUAUCCGCCUGAAAACUACGAUCGCAAGAUUAAAACUCAAAGAAAUAGACGGGGGCUCACACAAGUGGUGGAACAUGUGGUUUAAUUCGACACAACGCGCAAAACCUUACCAGCCCUUGACAUAAAUUAGAAUUAAAAUAGUUAUUAUUUUACUAUACAAUUUACAGGUGCUGCAUGGCUGUCGUCAGCUCGUGUCGUAAGAUGUUUGGUUAAGUCCUUUAACGAGCGCAACCCUCAUGAAAUAUUGCAAAUUUUUUUUAAAAAAAAAAAUAGAACUAUUUUCAUACUGCCAGUGAUAUACUGGAGGAAGGUGAGGAUGACGUCAAGUCGUCAUGGCCCUUAUGGGCUGGGCUACACACGUGUUACAAUAAUGAUUACAAAAGCAAGCAAUUAUGCAAAUAAGAGCGAAUGCCUAAAACUCAUUUUAAUUCGGAUUGUUCUCUGCAACUCGAGGACAUGAAGUUGGAAUCACUAGUAAUCGUGGAUCAGCAUGCCACGGUGAAUAUGUACCUGAGCCUUGUACUCACCGCCCGUCACGCUCUGGAAGUUGAAUGGUUUUAAAGUAUUGUAUUAAAAAUAAUUUCGUAUAUUUUUCAAUUUAUCUUAAAGUAAAAAAUUAAAAAUUUACAAAGUACUUUUUUAAUUUUUUAAAAAAACUAGAAAAUAAAAUAAAUUAAUAUGUAUUAUUGAUAAACAUAUACCAGAAACUGUAUAGUGACCGGAGCGAAGUCGUAACAAGGUAACC
RNAcentral lists this ribosomal RNA (1118 nucleotides) under uncultured organism. Its description in RNAcentral is "partial small subunit ribosomal RNA". It matches the Rfam family "Bacterial small subunit ribosomal RNA", at positions 505 to 1501 of the family's 1533-position model. The record is from RNAcentral.